GCAACUUCUACCCAUUGGUUGGUCAAAAAAUAAUCCAUUUUGAGCCGACUAAGAUUCAAAGUUGCUAGAGAAAUACUUAACUUACCAUGCGUUAAGGCUCUGCCCUUGGGCAUUGAAUAGCUAGCGCAGAAGUA
Molecule: small nucleolar RNA, 134 nt
Filed under: Drosophila grimshawi
Lineage: Eukaryota; Metazoa; Arthropoda; Insecta; Diptera; Drosophilidae
Description: snoRNA:GH25765
Source: RNAcentral